Molecule: ribosomal RNA, 1383 nt
Filed under: Triticum aestivum (bread wheat)
Lineage: Eukaryota; Viridiplantae; Streptophyta; Magnoliopsida; Poales; Poaceae
Description: partial small subunit ribosomal RNA
Source: RNAcentral
AUGAGCUCUCUCCUCCCCAAGCUGGGAGAGCUGCUCGUAGAGGAGUACAAGCUGAAGAAGAGUGUGAAGAAGGGGAUUGAAGAACUCAAGGCCGAGCUCGAGAGCAUGCAAGCAGCCCUCAUCAAGGUGUCCAGCGUGCCUCUAGAUCAACUCGACCCGCAGGUCAAGAUUUGGGCCAAUGAGGUCAGGGAGUUGUCCUACGCCAUCGAGGACAGCCUCGACUCAUUCGUGACCCGCGUCGAGGGUAAUGAGCCAACCAAGCCCAAAAUCAAGCACUUGCUCAAGAAGGCCCGCAAUGAGUUCAGCAAGUUCAAGGCACGCCAUGAAAUAGCCAAUGACAUCAAAGACAUUCAGAGCCAAGUUAGGAAGAUCAAGGAACGGCGCGACAGUUACAAGAUAGACGAUGUUGAUGCAAAUCCUGCAGCAACUACAGUUGACCCUCGUCUCCCAGCUCUAUACAAAAAGUUGUCUGACCUGGUGGGUAUUGACAAGCCAAUUAAUGAGCUGAUAAAGAUCCUGUCCGAGGGGGUUCCCAUGCCUGAUAAAAAUCCCAAGAUAGUCUCUAUUGUUGGAUUUGGAGGACUGGGAAAGACAACCCUUGCAAAAGCAUUGUAUGACAAGCUUAGCACAAAAUAUCAACGAGUUACAACAUAUCAGUGUCAUGGUUUUGUUCCAGUGGGUCAGAACCCAAAGGCAAAGAAAGUUCUUCUGGAUAUAGUCUGUGAACUUGACAAGGAGUUGUACAAAGCUGCAACAACAAUGGAUGAAAGGCAGCUGAUCAACGAGUUGCAGACGUUCCUUGCAGGCAAGAGGUACUUUAUUGUUAUUGAUGACAUAUGGGAUACACAAAUAUGGGAAACGAUUAAGUGUGCUUUCAUGGAUAGUCAUCCGGAAAGUAGAUUAAUCAUAACUACCCGUAUUGUUGAUGUUGCCACCAAAGCUGGUGGUAUCUACCACAUGCAACCACUUUCUGAUGAUUACUCCAAAAUAUUAUUCUAUACAAGAACAUCUGGUAGUGAAGGACCUGCUGAAGUGACUACCAAAAUUUUAAAGAAAUGUGGUGGUGUGCCAUUAGCUAUCACUACAAUAGCUAGCUUGCUUGUUGGUAAACACACUGAGGACUGGUCUAAGGUGUAUGAUGCCAUUGGUUUUGGGCAUGCAGACAAUGGAGAUGUUCAUAACACAAGAAAGAUAUUAUCUUUUAGCUAUUAUGAUCUGUCGUCCAAUCUUAAGACAUGUUUAUUGUAUCUUAGUGUGUUUCCUGAAGAUUAUUUAAUUAAUAAAAUAUCACUGAUAUGGAGGUGGGUUGCCGAAGGAUUUAUACCAUAUGGAGAAGGGAUGAACCAUUUGAACUUGGAGAGAUCUAUUUCAACAAGCUUGUAA